This 229-nucleotide ribosomal RNA is filed under the name uncultured Enterobacterales bacterium. RNAcentral's name for it is "partial 16S ribosomal RNA". It matches the Rfam family "Bacterial small subunit ribosomal RNA", at positions 104 to 334 of the family's 1533-position model. The record is from RNAcentral. Lineage: Bacteria; Pseudomonadati; Pseudomonadota; Gammaproteobacteria; Enterobacterales.
GGGGUGAGUAAUGUACUGGGAAACUGCCUGAUGGAGGGGGAUAACUACUGGAAACGGUAGCUAAUACCGCAUAAUGUCGCAAGACCAAAGAGGGGGACCUUCGGGCCUCUUGCCAUCAGAUGUGCCCAGAUGGGAUUAGCUUGUUGGUGGGGUAACGGCUCACCAAGGCGACGAUCCCUAGCUGGUCUGAGAGGAUGACCAGCCACACUGGAACUGAGACACGGUCCAG